RNAcentral lists this ribosomal RNA (432 nucleotides) under uncultured bacterium. Its description in RNAcentral is "bacterial SSU rRNA". It matches the Rfam family "Bacterial small subunit ribosomal RNA", at positions 355 to 800 of the family's 1533-position model. The record is from RNAcentral.
UCAAGAAACUUCCACAAUGGGCGAAAGCCUGAUGGAGCGACGUCGCGUGAUGGACGAAGUGCUUCGGCACGUAAACAUCUUUUAUGUGGGAUGAAAUUAUUGACAGUACCACAUGAAUAAGGGGCUCCUAACUCUGUGCCAGCAGGAGCGGUAAUACAGAGGCCCCAAGCGUUAUCCGGAAUCACUGGGCGUAAAGGGUGUCGAGGCGGUUGUAUUAGUCGUUCGUAAAAAUCUACGAGCUUAACUUGUAGGCGGCGAACGAAACGGUACGACUUGAGGUUUGGAGAGGUGCGUGGAACUCACGGUGUAGGGGUGAAAUCCGUUGAUAUCGUGGGGAACACCAAAGGCGAAGGCAGCGCACUGGCCAAAAUCUGACGCUCACACACGAAAGCUAGGGUAGCGAAGAGGAUUAGAUACCCCCGUAGUCCCUGA